UACGGAGGAUCCAAGCGUUAUCCGGAAUCACUGGGUUUAAAGGGUGCGUAGGUGGUUAAUUAAGUCAGUGGUGAAAUCUUACAGCUCAACUGUGAAACUGCCAUUGAAACUGAAUAACUUGAAUAUUUUCGAUGUAGGCGGAAUAAGUCAUGUAGCGGUGAAAUGCGUAGAUAUGACUUAGAACACCGAUUGCGAAGGCAGCUUACAAGGAAAUAUUGACACUGAGGCACGAAAGCGUGGGUAGCGAACAGG
Molecule: ribosomal RNA, 252 nt
Filed under: uncultured bacterium
Lineage: Bacteria
Description: partial 16S ribosomal RNA
Rfam family: Bacterial small subunit ribosomal RNA
Source: RNAcentral